UCGAAGCUUCGGAAAUGGAAAACAAGUUUGUCAAUUUGAUGAAAGUGGGCAUAAUAAGAAAGAAAGCCAAAAAAUCAAGGGAAUCAAAUGUAAACCUAAAAAUAAAGGAGAUAGAUCAUCUCGACGACCAAAAAAUGCUUUGGAAAAAGCUAAAAGAAAGAAAAGACUUCAAAUUGAUAAAUUAGUAGAGACUCCACUAGUUCAAGAGUUAAGGGUAAUAAUUUCUUGAUAUCAUUUUAUAUUAUGUUUUGAUUUAAUUUUAUAAUUAUUAUUUCCUUCUAAUCUAUAUAAUCAUGUAUCUAUUCUAAUAAUUUCAUAGGAUUCAAGUCAAAUUGCUCAUACUUUG
Molecule: long non-coding RNA, 346 nt
Filed under: Theobroma cacao (cacao)
Lineage: Eukaryota; Viridiplantae; Streptophyta; Magnoliopsida; Malvales; Malvaceae
Description: long non-coding RNA (TCAC_LNC003394)
Source: RNAcentral